GAACUGCGAUAAGUAAUGUGAAUUGCAGAAUUCAGUGAAUCAUCGAGUCUUUGAACGCACAUUGCGCCCCCUGGCAUUCCGGGGGGCAUGCCUGUCCGAGCGUCAUUGCUGCCCUUCAAGCCCGGCUUGUGUGUUGGGUCGUCGUCCCCUCCGGGGGACGGGCCCGAAAGGCAGCGGCGGCACCGCGUCCGGUCCUCGAGCGUAUGGGGCUUUGUCACCCGCUCGAUAAGGACCGGCCGAGCGCCAGCCGGCGUCUCCAACCUUUUUUUCUCAGGUUGACCUCGGAUCAGGUAGGGAUACCCGCUGAACUUAAG
RNAcentral lists this unclassified non-coding RNA (314 nucleotides) under plant metagenome. Its description in RNAcentral is "partial contains 5.8S ribosomal RNA, internal transcribed spacer 2, and large subunit ribosomal RNA". The stretch from base 1 to 105 matches the Rfam family "5.8S ribosomal RNA", at positions 50 to 154 of the family's 154-position model. The record is from RNAcentral.